RNAcentral lists this ribosomal RNA (468 nucleotides) under uncultured bacterium. RNAcentral describes it as "partial 16S ribosomal RNA". It matches the Rfam family "Bacterial small subunit ribosomal RNA", at positions 28 to 507 of the family's 1533-position model. The record is from RNAcentral.
GACGAACGCUGGCGGCGUGCUUAACACAUGCAAGUCGAACGGAAAGGCCCUGCUUUUGUGGGGUGCUCGAGUGGCGAACGGGUGAGUAACACGUGAGUAACCUGCCCUUGACUUUGGGAUAACUUCAGGAAACUGGGGCUAAUACCGGAUAGGAGCUCCUGCUGCAUGGUGGGGGUUGGAAAGUUUCGGCGGUUGGGGAUGGACUCGCGGCUUAUCAGCUUGUUGGUGGGGUAGUGGCUUACCAAGGCUUUGACGGGUAGCCGGCCUGAGAGGGUGACCGGCCAGAUUGGGACUGAGAUACGGCCCAGACUACUACGGGAGGCAACAGAGGGGAAUAUUGCACAAUGGGCGGAAGCCUGAUGCAGCAACGCCGCGUGCGGGAUGACGGCCUUCGGGUUGUAAACCGCUUUCGCCUGUGACGAAGCGUGAGUGACGGUAAUGGGUAAAGAAGCACCGGCUAACUACGUG